RNAcentral lists this long non-coding RNA (269 nucleotides) under Numida meleagris (helmeted guineafowl). Its description in RNAcentral is "lncRNA (ENSNMEG00000022267.1)". The record is from RNAcentral. Lineage: Eukaryota; Metazoa; Chordata; Aves; Galliformes; Numididae.
AAAAGCAGAGGAUCUCUGAAGAGGAUGUAUGAAGACCUGAUUUUGCACUUAUAGGAGAAUCUGAACAUCAUCAUCAAUUCCUUUUGCUCGUAGCAUCACUAUGUUUCAGCACUAAAAGAGACAUUCCUGAAAGAUGAAUUUCAGUCUGGCAUGCUGAACGCGCUGUUCCUGCGGCUGCUGCGAUUGCUGACCAGAGAUUCUGAAGGAAGAGAGUGCUUUAAUACAGCGGUGGCAAGGUUGAAGAAUAAAGGCAUGGACCAUGCACACUG